AAGGAUCAUUAACGAGUUCUGAAAGGGGUUGUAGCUGGCCUUCCGAGGCAUGUGCACGCCCUGCUCAUCCACUCUACACCUGUGCACUUACUGUAGGUUUGGCGUGGGCUUCGGGGGCCUCCGGGCUUUCGAGGCAUUCUGCCGGCCUAUGUAACACUACAAACACAUAAAGUAACAGAAUGUCAUCGCGUCUAACGCACAUAAAUACAACUUUCAGCAACGGAUCUCUUGGCUCUCGCAUCGAU
Molecule: unclassified non-coding RNA, 245 nt
Filed under: Trametes cinnabarina
Lineage: Eukaryota; Fungi; Basidiomycota; Agaricomycetes; Polyporales; Polyporaceae
Description: ITS1
Source: RNAcentral